UAGUGUUUUGAAAUGUAAAAAGCGUAAUGUUUCCUAGAACACAGAUUUUGUAAGAAAAUACGUAAAUGUGUGGACUAGAUCGGCACCACCGCUUCAGAAGUACAGAAUCGUCUCCCAAUGUGGUCUUGUACUCCAAUCAAACGAUUAAAUUUAGUGACACUGAGUGACUGCGCUUCGCGGUUAGUGUCACUCUAUGAGAUGGAAAGCUCUAGUGACACUUGCUGCGGGGUGCACUUGCCAGUGAGUGUGUUUGACAAACUCACUUUGCUGCAAUCAAGUGUGUAGUUUCGGUAACCGUGCUUCAAGAACAUCUAAAUAAAUGCUCACAGAUGAAUCAGCACUAAUUCUUAGACCACUUUUCCGUGACCUCAUUUGUUAUGAGCAUCUUUGCGACAUCAAUGAAGCCAGAACGGGCUUGAAAUGUUCAUUUUCCGUCGAUUCCGUCAUUUUGACCCUGUGAAUGUUUUAUAUGUUCCUUGCUUUUAUUGGCUCAAAACAAGUAUACAUGUUAAUGGGAUUAAAGUAUUUCUAUUUCUAAUUGCAAAGGUUCUUAUAAGUAAGCAUUCUAUUUUUUCCUAAUGAAACAGUAACGCUUUCUAAAGUUCAAAAUGCCGAGAAUCAUACCAACCACUAUGGCUUCAUAGAUCGUCAUUGUCAUUAAUUUGGUCGUCUGACUGGGGUAUUAUACCUCGCACAUUCUUGGUACUCGCAAGGGUACCAAACUCACAAGGGUGGUGGUUUCUGCCAGAGCAUGACCUCCAAGACCGCAGUCAACACACAGGGGUCUUUGUCGGCAGCAACUUACAGAUUGCAUUUUUAUAACUUACAUUCACCCGUUUUGUCAGGAAACCUGCCCUCUCUUGUUGCAAUUUUGUUAACGACUGUGGUACAGGACAUCGGCAGGCUUUCUGGGCCACAAUCUGUUGCUGUAGUUGGACUUAGUGUUUGUCAUCAGUAUCCCUUUAAGCAAAAACAGAAAAUUUUUUAAUUCCAAGUUUUUCAAGGUUACUUCACAUCAUUCCGCUGCUCAAUCAUUUGAGCAAAAUCUGUCUUACAAAGAAUAUUUUGGCAUGUUCACAUCUGCAUUUAUUUUCUUGUGACAUACAAAAAAAAACUUUAAAGUCAGUUGUAGCAUCCUCAGGCCUGUCAACACUUUUCUACACUGCCUCGAUUGAGCACAUAGCAUACAUAUGCCGUAUUUUCUUGUGUACUCCCUGCACUAGAAAUUUAAGAAGUUGAACUUUGAAGCGGGUAUGCAAGUGAUGAAGCGAUAAAAAAUGUAGCCUUGCUAUUUGGCUUCACAGCAACCCGUUGUGCAUUGCCAUCAACCGUGCGAGUGCAAAGAGCAUUUGGGAAAUGGUUGUUGCCCGAAUGUACAAAAAAAUUUUUCUGGAUGCUUGCUCUCUCCUGAUUAUAAUGAGGCGUUGUUUCAUGUGGUUACUUUUGCAUAUCGCAUAUUCCAUGUUUUGUUUUUUAUUUGUGGGUUGUCGUGACUGGGUUAUGCGCGGGAGAAUACGGCAACCAUUGUGCUCCAUGUACUGAUGCUGCUGUUUUCAUAUGAGGAAUGGUGCCUUCGUAAAUCUUUAGGCUGUUGUUGAUCGCACCAAAUAGUAAUCUUCAAACUUCUUUUCACUUAUAGAAUUGCAAGGUAGCAAUUUGCAUAAGGUGCUUUCCUAUUUCAACAUAUUUGCACGAAUAUAAUGUGAACGACUGUUUCUUUCUUUAGAUCUAUUAGAACCAUUAAAAAUACCUUGCAUUAUAUUUUUAACUGUGUUCUGCAUAAAAUGCAAUAGAUUUUUACCCCUAUUUCACACUUAAAAAUUCAGCGAGCUCCCUUACGAAUUAACCGAAUCACACGGGAAAGCCAGCUUUUUAGUGUCCUAUGGGGAAUGCAGAUGUGCGCAUGCACAUUAGAGGACGAGAGUCGGCAAUGAAGCAAGCAUGCAGCAAGUAAGAAACGAGGUUCAGGUGAUUUCUAUUUGUCGGGAGUGCUUAUCUAAGGGCUUCGAGGCCAACAGCUCGAUCUGCUUCGGCAGCAGACUUCUACACGGUCUGCUGCAUGAUGCAUCAUUAGUUUGUGUAAUAACUGCCGUCUAGCUUUCCUUGUUUCUGAAAUUUUAGAAGUCGUCGAUGAUUUGUUAGUUGCCGCGUUACGUUAGUGCACAUGUGUCUACUCUCCAUUACUGUUUGCUGUUACAAGUAGCAUCGCUGAAUGAUUUUAUGCUAGCAAGUGCAAACAAGCGGCAAUUGUAUAUUGCAAUAUUCUCUCAUACUGGCAUUCUUGGGUAAUCUUGUUUGCCAGCAUCAAGCCAGCCAAUUUCUCGGAAGCGCUGCAGCGUCAAUAUAAAACUUCCAAUGCAUUCAAGAUUGAGCAAGGACAAACGAAGCUGGUAUUCGUCAUAUUCAAGUGGUUAGUGAAGCUUCCUUCUGUAUAGUUUUGCGAUAAAAUACUGUAAUUGUAUUCACUGACCAGGUCAAAGGUGUGAAAGGUGAAGGAUUGGUAUUCUGGAGCCCUUGUCCGUGAGGCAAACAACAGUAAAUUUAUCAAAUGCAUAGAAGAUGGCACAGUCAUAUUGAGUUGACUGCCAUAAUGUAGCUGUUCAUCCUGUUCAAACUGUAGGGCAAUUUUUGAAUAAGAAAUUUCCAGAGAUUGAGUCAUCUGGUUUCUGACUUCCAUCGUGGUAGUGGCAUUCUCCGAGUUGAUGACAACUCUGUUGGUGGAUGGACACUCGCACAAAGUGCGUUGGAUCCUUGGCUUUCCUCACUGACAUCAGAAACCUGUGGAGUUUGUAAUCACAGCGUUGAAUCACUUGUUGCAAGGCUUGUUGUGCAGGAGGUAGUGGUGCAGCUCUCGCAUCCAUUUUCAGUGUGGGACAUUGUCACAAGGAUUGAACAUUGCAGUCAUUAUCAUGUGAAGAAAGCAGUGGUGUAAUGUUAUGGGCUACAUUGAAAGGUAAGCCUGUGAGCCUGCUGGGGCCAAUAUGACGGAAAACAAUUAUUCGUCAUCUGUUCACAGUUCCUUCAUGCUUUGUUUCAUUAAUUAAGUCAUCAGCUUAUUGAUGUAGGAAUAGGAACCCUGGUUUGCUGUACAAUAGUGUUGUCACGUCUUAUGGUAUAAAAGGACAAUGUUCCAAUAACUGUGUAGCCAAAGCUUGUGGUGUGUUUUGGCACUUUUCUGCGUAAUGGGAAGACUGUAAAAAUAAGUACACGAGGCUCAAGAACAACCAUGUCAGGUUAAUUUCUAAUCCACUGAUUCAAACUACAUACAUUCAUUUCAGAUGAAUAUGUGUGCAGUUUCUGCACAUUCUUUGGUAUCGGUGUAUGUUUUAUGGGGGCGUAUAUUAAUGACGAAGGCGGUGCUUACCAAAAGACAUAAACUGCUUGCUUCUCAUCAUGCUGAUCCACAGUGUACAGUCAUCUUGAUGUAUUUGUGACCUGAAACUGAUUAACAGUCCACAUGAAGCAUCAGCUGUUUACAUGUAAUGUAUAAUAACUUGUACAUAUUGUAUUCUUUUUAUUUUUUGUAUGGCUGAUAAGUCCAUCCUUCUCAAGGGAACCCCAAAUCAGUUUCAUGACUGAAACGAUUCACGCGAUUGUAACAUUUAAAGGCAAAUCCACACUAUUUGUUAGGGAAGCCAGUGGCAGCCAAAAAAGAUUUCAAAUCCUCCAUCCCUUCUUUGUAACAUAUCAGGGCAAGACAAAAGUAUAUUUUGGCUGCCAGCACAACUGCAGCCACUGCCUCAGUAAUACACUAAUGUAGGAUCAACAUGCGCAUGUAGAUGGCAUGUACAGACGUUCAUAAUUCUAACUUGGAGCACUUGAUUGGUGCACUGUGAAGUCAAGCAAGUGAUAUAUUGUGUUUGUGCUCAGUCUGAUAGACGAUGCUUGCUGGAAGCAGCAGCCCCACAAACAUGUGUGCCACAUAAUGUUGAUCUCAUCAUCCCAAGCCUUCGGAUUGCUGCGGUAUCACUUUUUGCUUACUCUGCAGCACUGCACUCGAGUGCUUAACAAUCCCUAACAAUAUGCUAGAACAUAUUGUUAAGGAUUGCAUCAGCAGGCGAGAUGAUGGCAUGCUGAGCAUAUCGGCACAGCAGCAAAAUAGCAAAUAGUUUCUGUGUGCUGGACGAACUACCUUAACUGUCAAAGACAUCUGCCAAUGCCUUCUCACACAAUCAACCUUUCACUGUAGUGUCAGUCAUGUUCUGAUCAAAAAAACUAGGUUGUCAUUCAGUAAGCAAGAAAUAGCAAUUAGCUCGCAAGGUAUGAUGGCAUUUCAUAGUUCCCCUGCUAAGGAACUAUUCAAUUUAGCCCCAUGACAUAUGCUGAACUUUGCAACUUGCAUUUUUUGUGAAUGUAGUAAGCGUGACCACAAAGUCUAUUACAAGACAUGUUUUGAUGUCUUCCCACACUCUUCAGCGACUGCAUUGGGGUUCCUUCGAGAGGGUGCACUGAUAGCUGCUCUAGUCAUGACCACAUAGUUUGUCAUGGCUAAAUUGGUGCUGCGCAAUUUCCACUGCAUGUACAUGUUUUGUUUGAAUGCGCAGUGCUAGUAGUAGUGUGCUCAUUGUCUUAAUGUGUUGCAUUUAUUCAUUCAUGCCAUGUGUUAAUCAGUGAUCUGAAUAUAUUGUUGUCCCCCAGAAGGUACUGAUUGAUGUGUAACAUGUUGACAUGUCAUCUCGUAGAUUCCUUUUUGUAAUAGGCUUUCUUUUCUUCUGAACGCCAGAGCUCAUGUUAUUGUAGAGAACAGCCCAGUCUACAGCAAUACCUUGUCCCAUUUUGGCAGGUUGAGAAGCGUGACAAAUCUCUCUCAGUCAUUGGGGAGAAAAGAAAGUCUUAUUGUCCGCAAAAGCGUGUGCUCGUGUAUAUUCCCUGUACCUCUAAUUCUGGUUCGUUGUGGUAGAGCUCCUUUCUAGGAAAGAGUGUUAAAGGUUGUAAUAAUUGUGCUGCAUUGACACCAAAGCCUAUUUUUUUGUACCUUAUUUUUAUGGUAGCUUAACCAACUAAUGUAGCAUUUGUGUGAGACAUUUCCACUCAACCUUGCCGACGCAGGUUCAUUGACACAUAAUUACACUCACUGGCACUUUAAGCCCAUGAGCAUGAACUUGCACAUGCUCUCAUUUAAUCUUCACCACAUCCCUUCUUUUUUUUUCUCUUCAUUUUUGUUGCAUUCGAUUCAUUGAUCGCCCUGUCAUCGGCAUUGUUUUUGUACAGCAACUGAUGAGCUUUGUGUACUACAUGUUGUCAUGUUGUCUGUGUUGUCAACAAUGGCUUCGUGAUCUUAAAUAUAUUGCAGUGAAAA
RNAcentral lists this long non-coding RNA (5299 nucleotides) under Dermacentor andersoni. RNAcentral's name for it is "uncharacterized LOC126540281". The record is from RNAcentral. Lineage: Eukaryota; Metazoa; Arthropoda; Arachnida; Ixodida; Ixodidae.